Molecule: ribosomal RNA, 488 nt
Filed under: Baylisascaris transfuga (bear roundworm)
Lineage: Eukaryota; Metazoa; Nematoda; Chromadorea; Rhabditida; Ascarididae
Description: partial 12S ribosomal RNA
Source: RNAcentral
UUUGUAAACUUGAACUCUAAUUGGUGUUGGUUUGAGGUUUUGUUUUUAUCUUGUUUUUUAGGGUGAAAUCAGAAAUUUUUAUUAAUGGUGCCUUAAACUUUAAGAUUUGGUGAAUGAAUCAGAUUAGUACCUGAUUAAACAAAAGUUAAAAGAGCAGGAGUAAAGUUAUGUUUAAACUGAAAGAGUAUUGGCAGGUUUUUAAAUUAUCUUUGGAGGUUGAGUAGUAAUUGAGAGCCCUCAUUAACAACUUUUACUAUAGGCGCAUGUAUGAUCGUUUAUUUUAUUCUUAAGGAUUGCAAUUUUAGAUGGGUCUCUGUUAAAAUAGAUAGAUAUUUGGUGUAUGUAAAAGAUUUAAUUUGACCUACAGUAUAUUAUUUUGUGGAUACCUCUCUAGUAGGGGGUUGAAAGUGUAAAAGACAGUAAGUUUUUUUUUAUGUAAGACUGAAGUUUAUUUAAGAACGGUACAAAUCAUCCAUCAAUUGCCUUCA